GAAGGGCCCGAGCGUUGCGCGGAAUCAUUGGGCUUAAAGCGUACGUAGGCGGACGAGCAGGCACCUUGUGAAAUCCCUCGGCUCAACCGAGGAAUUGCUUGGUGAACCGCUCGUCUUGAGGCAAGUAGGGGCUGUCGGAACGAUAGGUGGAGCGGUGAAAUGCGUUGAUAUCUAUCGGAACGCCAAAGGUGAAGACAGGCAGCUGGGCUUGUUCUGACGCUGAGGUACGAAAGCGUGGGGAGCGAACGGGGGAUUAGAUACCCCGGUAGUCCACGCCGUAAACGAUGUGCACUAGAUCGAGGGGGGUUCUGACGCCAUUCUCGGUCGAAGCAAAAGUGUUAAGUGCACCGCCUGGGGAGUACGGUCGCAAGGCUA
RNAcentral lists this ribosomal RNA (375 nucleotides) under uncultured organism. RNAcentral describes it as "partial 16S ribosomal RNA". It matches the Rfam family "Bacterial small subunit ribosomal RNA", at positions 527 to 896 of the family's 1533-position model. The record is from RNAcentral.